AGUGAACGCUGGCGGUAGGCCUAACACAUGCAAGUCGAACGGCAGCACAGUAAGAGCUUGCUCUUACGGGUGGCGAGUGGCGGACGGGUGAGGAAUACAUCGGAAUCUACUUUUUCGUGGGGGAUAACGUAGGGAAACUUUCGCUAAUACCGCAUACGACCUACGGGUGAAAGCAGGGGAUCUUCGGACCUUGCGCGAUUGAAUGAGCCGAUGUCGGAUUAGCUAGUUGGCGGGGUAAAGGCCCACCAAGGCGACGAUCCGUAGCUGGUCUGAGAGUAUGAUCAGCCACACUGGAACUGAGACACGGUCCAGACUCCUACGGGAGGCAGCAGUGGGGAAUAUUGGACAAUGGGCGCAAGCCUGAUCCAGCCAUACCGCGUGGGUGAAGAAGGCCUUCGGGUUGUAAAGCCCUUUUGUUGGGAAAGAAAAGCAGCAGGUUAAUACCCCGCUGUUCUGACGGUACCCAAAGAAUAAGCACCGGCUAACUUCGUG
Molecule: ribosomal RNA, 492 nt
Filed under: uncultured bacterium
Lineage: Bacteria
Description: partial 16S ribosomal RNA
Rfam family: Bacterial small subunit ribosomal RNA
Source: RNAcentral